UAAUACAUUUUGUAAAACCAUGUUCGGC
Molecule: small RNA, 28 nt
Filed under: Bombyx mori (domestic silkworm)
Lineage: Eukaryota; Metazoa; Arthropoda; Insecta; Lepidoptera; Bombycidae
Description: ovarian small RNA-19533
Source: RNAcentral